This 605-nucleotide ribosomal RNA is filed under the name Staphylococcus haemolyticus. RNAcentral describes it as "bacterial SSU rRNA". It matches the Rfam family "Bacterial small subunit ribosomal RNA", at positions 25 to 615 of the family's 1533-position model. The record is from RNAcentral. Lineage: Bacteria; Bacillati; Bacillota; Bacilli; Caryophanales; Staphylococcaceae.
CAGGAAAGUGCUGGCGUGCUAAUACAUGCAAGUCGAGCGAACAGACAAGGAGCUUGCUCCUUUGACGUUAGCGGCGGACGGGUGAGUAACACGUGGGUAACCUACCUAUAAGACUGGGAUAACUUCGGGAAACCGGAGCUAAUACCGGAUAAUAUUUCGAACCGCAUGGUUCGAUAGUGAAAGAUGGUUUUGCUAUCACUUAUAGAUGGACCCGCGCCGUAUUAGCUAGUUGGUAAGGUAACGGCUUACCAAGGCGACGAUACGUAGCCGACCUGAGAGGGUGAUCGGCCACACUGGAACUGAGACACGGUCCAGACUCCUACGGGAGGCAGCAGUAGGGAAUCUUCCGCAAUGGGCGAAAGCCUGACGGAGCAACGCCGCGUGAGUGAUGAAGGUCUUCGGAUCGUAAAACUCUGUUAUUAGGGAAGAACAUACGUGUAAGUAACUAUGCACGUCUUGACGGUACCUAAUCAGAAAGCCACGGCUAACUACGUGCCAGCAGCCGCGGUAAUACGUAGGUGGCUAGCGUUAUCCGGAAUUAUUGGGCGUAAAUCGCGCGUAGGCGGUUUUUUAAGUCUGAUGUGAAAAGCCCUCGGCCUCAACCG